UGGGGAAUCUUGCGCAAUGGGCGAAGGCCUGACGCAGCCAUGCCGCGUGAAUGAUGAAGGUCUUAGGAUUGUAAAAUUCUUUCACCGGGGACGAUAAUGACGGUACCCGGAGAAGAAGCCCCGGCUAACUUCGUGCCAGCAGCCGCGGUAAUACGAAGGGGGCUAGCGUUGCUCGGAAUUACUGGGCGUAAAGGGCGCGUAGGCGGACAGUUUAGUCAGAGGUGAAAGCCCAGGGCUCAACCUUGGAAUUGCCUUUGAUACUGGCUGUCUUGAGUACGGGAGAGGUGUGCUGGAACUCCGAGUGUAGAGGUGAAAUUCGUAGAUAUUCGGAAGAACACCAGUGGCGAAGGCGACACACUGGCCCGUUACUGACGCUGAGGCGCGAAAGCGUGGGGAGCAAACAGGAUUAGAUACCCUGGUAGUCCACGCCGUAAACGAUGAGUGCUAGUUGUCGGCAUGCAUGCAUGUCGGUGACGCAGCUAACGCAUUAAGCACUCCGCCUGGGGAGUAC
RNAcentral lists this ribosomal RNA (511 nucleotides) under uncultured bacterium. RNAcentral describes it as "partial 16S ribosomal RNA". It matches the Rfam family "Bacterial small subunit ribosomal RNA", at positions 355 to 883 of the family's 1533-position model. The record is from RNAcentral.